This 253-nucleotide ribosomal RNA is filed under the name uncultured archaeon. Its description in RNAcentral is "partial 16S ribosomal RNA". It matches the Rfam family "Archaeal small subunit ribosomal RNA", at positions 720 to 982 of the family's 1478-position model. The record is from RNAcentral.
CACUGACAUUAGAUACCCGCGUAGUCCAGGGUGUAAACGCUGCAGACUUGGUGUUGGAAGUCCUUUGGGGCAUUCAGUGCCGGAGAGAAGUUGUUAAGUCUGCUACUUGGGAGUACGUCCGCAAGGAUGAACUUAAGGAAUUGGCGGGGAGCACCGCAACGGAGAGCGUGCGGUUUAAUUGGAUUCAACACCGUAAACUCACCUGGAAGACUGUUACAUGAAGGCCGAGAUGAAGACUCUGCUAGAUUUUCAG